AAGGAGUUUAGACGAGUCUUACUUGUUUUCGUCGUAAAAUCUCAACAAAAACUCUGAUUGAGACGAAACCAAAAACGUUUUGAUCGGGAUUCAAAAGAGAACGCAAAGGAGGAUCUUUUUGAGGCCUGACAAGUUGCUACGUAGCGAGUUGGAGGGCUGACAGGUCGCUAUGUAGCGAGUAGGAGCAAGCCAAGAAGUUUAGACUAGUCUAACUUGUUUUCGUCGUAAAAUCUCAACAGAAAUUCCAAUUGAGACGAAAUGAAAAGCGUUUCGAUCGGGAUUCAAAAGAGAACGCAAAGGAGGAUAUUUUUGAGGCCUGACAGGUCGCUACGUAGCGAGUUGGAGGUCUGACAGGUCGCUAUGUAGCGAGUAGGAGCAAGCCACGAAGUUUAGACGAGUCUAACUUGUUUUCGUCGUAAAAUCUCAACGGAAAUUCCAAUUGAAACGAAACGAAAAGCGUUUCGAUCGGGAUUCAAAAGAGAACGCAAAGGAGGAUCUUUUUGAGGCCUGACAGGUCGCUAUGUAGCGAGUUGGAGGUCUGACAGGUCGCUAUGUAGCGAGUAGGAGCAAGCCAAGAAGUUUAGACGAGUCUAACUUGUUUUC
RNAcentral lists this long non-coding RNA (603 nucleotides) under Brassica napus (rape). Its description in RNAcentral is "long non-coding RNA (BNAP_LNC009951)". The record is from RNAcentral. Lineage: Eukaryota; Viridiplantae; Streptophyta; Magnoliopsida; Brassicales; Brassicaceae.